RNAcentral lists this long non-coding RNA (241 nucleotides) under Selaginella moellendorffii. RNAcentral's name for it is "long non-coding RNA (SMOE_LNC001784)". Lineage: Eukaryota; Viridiplantae; Streptophyta; Lycopodiopsida; Selaginellales; Selaginellaceae. The record is from RNAcentral.
UGGUGAGAGGUACACUGGGCCCGAAAAUAUUUUCCAGUGCCUUUUCUGUGAUGCGACACCAGUCGAAGAAAAGGGGUCCAGUCACGUCGAAGAAGAGGAAGGUGUCCGUCUUAGAGGGAGAUGUUGGCAACAACGUCCGCAUUAAAACCUGAUGCGCAUCACUGAUCCACUUGUGAUGGAAGGAUCGGAUCGCUGGCGACUCUGGCGACUCUGCAAAAAGUGCUUCAUGUCUCAAUCAAAU